GGGGAUUUAGCUCAGUGGUAGAGCCCUUGCCUAGCAAGCACAAGGCCCUAGGUUCAGUCCCCA
RNAcentral lists this transfer RNA (63 nucleotides) under Rattus norvegicus (Norway rat). It matches the Rfam family "tRNA". Rfam says of the family: Transfer RNA (tRNA) molecules are approximately 80 nucleotides in length. Lineage: Eukaryota; Metazoa; Chordata; Mammalia; Rodentia; Muridae. The record is from Rfam by way of RNAcentral.